This 74-nucleotide transfer RNA is filed under the name Cytinus hypocistis. RNAcentral's name for it is "tRNA-Met". Lineage: Eukaryota; Viridiplantae; Streptophyta; Magnoliopsida; Malvales; Cytinaceae. The record is from RNAcentral.
UUGCAGGAAUGGGAUUUGAACCCAUGACCUCAAGGUUAUGAGCCUUGCGAGCUACCAAACUACUCUAUCCUGCG